This 164-nucleotide ribosomal RNA is filed under the name Ageratum conyzoides. Its description in RNAcentral is "5.8S ribosomal RNA". It matches the Rfam family "5.8S ribosomal RNA". Rfam says of the family: 5.8S ribosomal RNA (5.8S rRNA) is a component of the large subunit of the eukaryotic ribosome. It is transcribed by RNA polymerase I as part of the 45S precursor that also contains 18S and 28S rRNA. Lineage: Eukaryota; Viridiplantae; Streptophyta; Magnoliopsida; Asterales; Asteraceae. RNAcentral also lists the same sequence under 1 other name. The record is from RNAcentral.
UAAACGACUCUCGGCAACGGAUAUCUUGGCUCACGCAUCGAUGAAGAACGUAGCAAAAUGCGAUACUUGGUGUGAAUUGCAGAAUCCCGUGAACCAUCGAGUUUUUGAACGCAAGUUGCGCCCGAAGCCAUUCGGUCGAGGGCACGUCUGCCUGGGCGUCACGC